CUCUCUCUAGCACAACUCUCUGUCUCUCUCUCCAGAUCAAUCAGAAUUCGGAUCAACCCCUCAUUGUCCGUCUCUUUCCACAAAACCACUCUCUAUUCGUGAAACCAGCCGCGAAUCUCACAGAAGUUUCCUUCUUCAGCUCAAAAAGCAUACGCCAUGAUUUGAAUCACCAGGAAUUAAUCGGACCCCCCCAACCAGAAUGGCGUGGUUCAGUGGGAAAGUCUCUUUGGGGAACUUCCCCGAUCUCGCCGGGGCCGUGAAUAAGCUCCAGGAGAGUGUCAAGAACAUCGAGAAGAACAAGCUGAUGAUAAUGAAGCUGAUGUUAAAGGGCAACAUCUGAGCUCAGGGGAAAAUGCGUCUGACUCUUCAGUGAUUGAAUUGGAGAAGGUGAAGAUGGAGAUGAAGAUGAUGGAAGCUGCAUUGCAAGGUGCUGCAAGACAGGCCCAGGCAAAAGCUGAUGAGAUUGCAAAGUUUAUGAAUGAAAAUGAACAAUUAAAAUCUGCGAUCGAGGAUUUGAAGAUGUUCACAUAUUAACUGGUGAAAAUAAUUGAACAGAGAAAAUCCAAUG
Prunus dulcis (almond) is the source of this 568-nucleotide long non-coding RNA. RefSeq lists it as uncharacterized. The transcript has 4 exons. Lineage: Eukaryota; Viridiplantae; Streptophyta; Magnoliopsida; Rosales; Rosaceae. The record is from RefSeq and is a predicted model, not a curated record.